This 29-nucleotide non-coding RNA is filed under the name Bombyx mori (domestic silkworm). The record is from RNAcentral. Lineage: Eukaryota; Metazoa; Arthropoda; Insecta; Lepidoptera; Bombycidae.
AAGACUUGUAAAUAGGAUUGCCCAACCGU